GCAGGUAUGGCGAAAUUGGUAGACGCGUACGUUUGAGGGGCGUAUGGGGUAACCCAUGGGAGUUCGAGUCUCCCUACCUGCACCA
RNAcentral lists this transfer RNA (85 nucleotides) under Bacillota bacterium. Its description in RNAcentral is "tRNA-Leu". It matches the Rfam family "tRNA". From Rfam's summary of the family: Transfer RNA (tRNA) molecules are approximately 80 nucleotides in length. Their secondary structure includes four short double-helical elements and three loops (D, anti-codon, and T loops). Further hydrogen bonds mediate the characteristic L-shaped molecular structure. tRNAs have two regions of fundamental functional importance: the anti-codon, which is responsible for specific mRNA codon recognition, and the 3' end, to which the tRNAs corresponding amino acid is attached (by aminoacyl-tRNA synthetases). tRNAs cope with the degeneracy of the genetic code in two manners: having more than one tRNA (with a specific anti-codon) for a particular amino acid; and 'wobble' base-pairing, i.e. permitting non-standard base-pairing at the 3rd anti-codon position. RNAcentral also lists the same sequence under 1 other name. The record is from RNAcentral. Lineage: Bacteria; Bacillati; Bacillota.